AUGCCUGAAGGGGUAAACUCCACGUCUAUUGUUCUUAUUCCUAAGAUCCCCAACCCCACAAAGAUGUCUGACUAUAGGCCUAUCAGUUUAUGUAAUGUUAUAUAUAAGGUUACUUCCAAAUGCUUGGUCAAUUGGCUGAGGCCUUUGUUAGACAACUUAAUAUCUUCAGAACAGAGUGCUUUUAUUCUAGGGAGGAUGAUUGCUGAUAAUGCUCUGGUGGCCUUUGAGUGUAUUCACUAUAUUAAACAAGAGAAGGAUCUUACAAAAAGUUUGUGUGCAUAUAAACUUGAUCUGUUAAAAGCAUACGAUCGAGUGGAUUGGGUUUUCUUGAAACAGGUGUUGCAAAAGCUGGGUUUCUCUCAUCGAUGGAUUGAUUGGGUAAUGACGUGUGUCAUGUCGGUAAGAUAUUCUAUCAAACUUAACGAAACCCUCUUAGAUUCAUUUGCAUCGUCAAGUGGUCUUUGGCAAGGUGACCCACUCUCACCUCUCUUAUUUCUGUUUGUGGCGGAUGGUUUUUCUACUAUUCUGAAGAACAAGGUGGCCAUGGGCGAAAUCACUCCGGUUAAAGUUUGUAGAAGAGCUCUAGGUGUUAUCCCACUUAUUAUUUGCUGA
Molecule: ribosomal RNA, 612 nt
Filed under: Triticum aestivum (bread wheat)
Lineage: Eukaryota; Viridiplantae; Streptophyta; Magnoliopsida; Poales; Poaceae
Description: partial small subunit ribosomal RNA
Source: RNAcentral